Molecule: ribosomal RNA, 242 nt
Filed under: uncultured bacterium
Lineage: Bacteria
Description: partial 16S ribosomal RNA
Rfam family: Bacterial small subunit ribosomal RNA
Source: RNAcentral
GAUCCUGGCUCAGGACGAACGCUGGCGGCGCGCCUAACACAUGCAAGUCGAACGAGAGAGAGGAAGCUUGCUUCCUCAAUCGAGUGGCGAACGGGCGAGUAACGCGUGAGGAACCUGCCUCAAAGAGGGGGACCACAGUUGGAAACGACUGCUAAUACCGCAUAAGCCCACGGGUCGGCAUCGACCAGAGGGAAAAGGAGCAAUCCGCUUUGAGAUGGCCUCGCGUCCGAUUAGCUAGUUGG